RNAcentral lists this long non-coding RNA (602 nucleotides) under Struthio camelus australis. RNAcentral's name for it is "lncRNA (ENSSCUG00000006501.1)". Lineage: Eukaryota; Metazoa; Chordata; Aves; Struthioniformes; Struthionidae. The record is from RNAcentral.
CCGGCAGCAGCGGGAGCAGCGUUGCCCGGCCGGCGGCCUUCAUUCUGCGAGCGAAACGCGGCUCUCCCGCGUUUUCUUUGGGUUUCCCUCUCGGGCUGUGCAGCACCCAAAGCGUUUUGGGCCUCUUGCGUAAUAUCCUCUAAAAUGCGUGACGGUGUCAUUCAGUUUCCUGCGCCCCCCGUUUUUACUAAUGCGCCUCGCAGGCACCGCGUAGCCCGCGCCGCUGUGGAGCUUCUGGGGCGGCGCUGAAGAAGGCCGCAGGUAGCUGAGCUCUGCUGAGGAGAGAGGCAGGAUGAGGAUGGAGCUGCCCGUGGCCAAGUGUGCUUGCAAUGCCAUCAUCAUCUGCUUCAUCACCGUCUCCACCACCAAGAAGGUCUGGCAGACCCACUAUAUAUUCCCCUUCAGAGAAAAGGAGGAGAAGAAAGAAUCUGGAGAGAAAAAGGGCUCAGUCAAGGACACGUGUAAGAGAACAAACAGGAAGAUGGAUGUCCCUUAGAGAAACACUUAAUGUGUUCUCACAUGCUGAAGUUGCCAAGCUUUUGCUGGAUUUAUAUGACAGCUAUGAACACCAAGAUAAUGUGUGCAAGGAAUUACAACUGUAG